AUUGAACGCUGGCGGCAGGCUUAACACAUGCAAGUCGAGCGAGCGGCGGACGGGUGAGUAAUGUCUGGGAAACUGCCUGAUGGAGGGGGAUAACUACUGGAAACGGUAGCAAAUACCGCUUACCGUCCGAUGAGCCCAGAUGGGAUGAUCUAGUAGGUGGGGUAAUGGCUCACUUGGGCGACGAUCCCUAGCUGGGCUGAGAGGUUGACCAGACACACUGGAACUGAUACACGGUCCAGACUCCUACGGGAGGCAGCAGUGGGGAAUUUUCCACAAUGGGCGAAAGCCUGAUGCAGCCAUGCCGCGUGUGUGAAGAAGGCCUUCGGGUUGUAAAGCACUUUCAGCGAGGAGGCGUUACUCGCAGAAGAAGCACCGGCUAACUCCGUGCCAGCAGCCGCGGUAAUUC
RNAcentral lists this ribosomal RNA (406 nucleotides) under uncultured bacterium. RNAcentral describes it as "partial 16S ribosomal RNA". It matches the Rfam family "Bacterial small subunit ribosomal RNA", at positions 30 to 526 of the family's 1533-position model. The record is from RNAcentral.